Molecule: non-coding RNA, 110 nt
Filed under: Granulicella mallensis
Lineage: Bacteria; Pseudomonadati; Acidobacteriota; Terriglobia; Terriglobales; Acidobacteriaceae
Source: RNAcentral
UAUAGUGGCUGCUCCGAGGUUUCUCCGCAAGGAGAAUUAAACGGGAAUCCGGUGAAAAUCCCGAACUGCCCCGCAGCUGUAGCAGGUGCGAACUUUGCGCGGAAUGACAA